UAGAGUUUGAUCCUGGCUCAGGAUGAACGCUAGCUACAGGCUUAACACAUGCAAGUCGCAGGGUAACAUGAGGAAAGCUUGCUUUCCUUGAUGACGACUGGCGCACGGGUGAGUAACGCGUAUCCAACCUUCCCAUAACUACGGGAUAACCCGUUGAAAGACGGCCUAAUACCGUAUGAUAUCGUUUGCUGACAUCAAAUAACGAUUAAAGGUUUAGCGGUUAUGGAUGGGGAUGCGUCUGAUUAGCUUGUUGGCGGGGUAACGGCCCACCAAGGCAACGAUCAGUAGGGGUUCUGAGAGGAAGGUCCCCCACAUUGGAACUGAGACACGGUCCAAACUCCUACGGGAGGCAGCAGUGAGGAAUAUUGGUCAAUGGGCGAGAGCCUGAACCAGCCAAGUAGCGUGCAGGAUGACGGCCCUAUGGGUUGUAAACUGCUUUUAUGUGGGGAUAAAGUGCGUGACGUGUCAUGCAUUGCAGGUACCACAUGAAUAAGGACCGGCUAAUUCCGUGCCAGCAGCCGCGGUAAAAGGG
Molecule: ribosomal RNA, 532 nt
Filed under: uncultured Bacteroidales bacterium
Lineage: Bacteria; Pseudomonadati; Bacteroidota; Bacteroidia; Bacteroidales
Description: bacterial SSU rRNA
Rfam family: Bacterial small subunit ribosomal RNA
Source: RNAcentral